Molecule: ribosomal RNA, 274 nt
Filed under: uncultured bacterium
Lineage: Bacteria
Description: partial 16S ribosomal RNA
Rfam family: Bacterial small subunit ribosomal RNA
Source: RNAcentral
AUACGGAGGGUGCAAGCGUUAUUCGGAUUUAUUGGGCGUAAAGGGCGCGCAGGCGGCUUGGUAAGUCGGGUGUGAAAUCCCUGGGCUCAACCCAGGAACUGCACUCGAAACUGCCUCGCUAGAGCCUCGGAGAGGGUGGCGGAAUUCCCGGUGUAGAGGUGAAAUUCGUAGAUAUCGGGAGGAACACCAGUGGCGAAGGCGGCCACCUGGACGAUGACUGACGCUCAGACCCGAAAGCGUGGGGAGCAAACAGGAUUAGAUACCCCGGUAGUCC